RNAcentral lists this long non-coding RNA (1971 nucleotides) under Triticum aestivum (bread wheat). RNAcentral describes it as "long non-coding RNA (TAES_LNC010060)". Lineage: Eukaryota; Viridiplantae; Streptophyta; Magnoliopsida; Poales; Poaceae. The record is from RNAcentral.
GAUUGGGUCUUGUGACCACAAACCUAGAGACAUACAAGAUCGAUGAGGUAGACGUUGUUCAAUUUGUUUAGUGAUCUACUCUUUUCCUCAAGGUUGAAGGAUCCUUUCUUCAUGUGCGUCUUCCUCCUGCAGAUGUGAUCGUUGGUAGUAACUAAGGUGGUUUGGUGUUUCAUGAAGUUUUACAGAUUGGUGCUCACGCCGUGGUGGUAUGCCAGCUAUUGCAGCAUGUGUUAGCAAUCAACACCAGGACUCCAUAAAGACCCAAAGAGAAGCAGAGGAACAAUGAAGAUAUGUAUAUACCGAGCAUGUAGUGCAGCCUGCAAGUUGCCGGCAUUCUUCAGGUUGCUCUUGAUGUCCACGUUGAGCAUAGAUAUCCUACUUGUCUAUGCAUUUGAGUUCUAAUUACAAUAUAAUUGUGAAUAUUUUUCUUUGCAGAACUAUCGAACAACUUAAAUUAACAAGUUGGCAACCCUUGAAUGUGUAGAACAGUAGCGAGGAGAUUGUUGCCGAGCUUACAAAUCACUAUGCCCAGCACACACAUAUCUGAUUUCCUCAUGUUGGCCUUUUUACAUCCAGAAAAAGACUGUCCAAAUAACACCUAUGGUCAAUUUAAAUUGUCAAUGGCUGUUUGUUUUAUACACAUUAUUUUCUAAAUUUUUGUCAAACUUCAACACAUAUAUACUUCUAACAGAGUCAAACAUGCUACAUGCAUAUCAUUUUCUUAGAUGGUAUAUAAGGCUUGAAUAGUAAUUGUGGGUUCUCACGUACUAUGUAUACGUAAGAGAGACUACAUGGAUGACAUAUCAUUAGAAAAAUUGAAAGAAUUAUGGUGGCUAUUAAUUUGCUUGAAAUGAUUACCCCACUACAAUGCUUCUCAUAGCUUUAUUGUUCUGUGAUGCAAGCAUAUGUGUUCUGAAGCCUUUUUUGCCAGGGAACUCUGAAGCAUGUGGUUCAAGUAAAUAUUGUACGGUCAGGGAAAAUCUUUGCAUAUUCAGGAGCAGACCGCAAGCUGCUGGUGCGAAAACACAAUUGGUACCGUACAUCAGGCAAAGCUUCACUACAGAGUUCUGCAUAGGGAUAUGCAUUUUGCAAAGGUAUUGACCUUCUUUUCAGUGAGGCAAAUAGAAAUUGACACAUGUUCUCAUUGUGCCAACGAUUUAUGUGCUGCGCAUUGGUUUGUAAUUUUCUGUGCAUUUGGUAUGAAAUUUAUCACUCGCUUUUGAUUGUUUUUUCCCAAUGAGAGGCCUUGCUAAUAGAUUGUCAUCUCUCAUUGUACUAUGAUUGUGGAAGAUGCAAUAUCUUUAGUAUUUUGAGCAACGACAUCCUCCAAGAAGGUGCAUCGAAUGCAUUCUAGGACCUGGGAGACAAAGCUGAAUCCAUUAUUGUGAAGAUGAGCAAGUAGUUGAAUGUUUUGUAAAGAACAAAUUCCAGAACAGAAACAUGAUGAGAUGGUUCAGCCAGGUCACAACUCUAAUAAUCACUAACUACAGUAAUACCUAAAUAUUUCACUUUUCUAAAAUGAUUGUCUUAUUUUACUUUUUAUUACUCAAGCUCGAGCAACAUUUCUGCUACAUUGGAAUUUACUACUUCCAGUCAGUGUGUUCUUGGUUAUACAUGGGAGUCAAAAAAAUGCAGACUCCUUUCUUUGCUGCAUGAUUGUAGAUGGCUACCAAAUAGGAAUUUUUUUCAACCUUCAGUAAAUAUAGAUGUAUUUUGUACGUGCAGGUUUGAUGCAUGACAUGAUUGCAGAUGCGUGUAGAUUUCAGCUUGUGCAAGAUAAAAAAUGAAGGUAAGGAGGGAGGGGCAGAAGAAAUGAUGAUUGUCGAGGGGGGAAGAAGCGGGAUAAAAUCAGUUUAUUGAUGGUAACCACAUUCCAUCUUGUUCAACUAAUCAUCAUGUUCAACUAAUUUUUGAUCUGGGAUUACUGAUCACUAUGUUUUUUUAUCCCGUGGCAACGCACGGGCAUUAAAC